UAGCCAGGGAUGACUUGCCU
Molecule: microRNA, 20 nt
Filed under: Malus domestica (apple)
Lineage: Eukaryota; Viridiplantae; Streptophyta; Magnoliopsida; Rosales; Rosaceae
Source: RNAcentral